RNAcentral lists this long non-coding RNA (845 nucleotides) under Physcomitrium patens. RNAcentral describes it as "long non-coding RNA (PPAT_LNC002558)". Lineage: Eukaryota; Viridiplantae; Streptophyta; Bryopsida; Funariales; Funariaceae. The record is from RNAcentral.
UUAGAACUUUCUCACGACGGGGGAUCCAAAGUCCACACAUUCAGUCAGAAUUCCGAUGCAACGCAGAUCCGGCGCCAUCAACUUGUGGGGAGUUAUCAAACUUACUGAAACGAGGUAAUUGAACAACUAGGAUCUUCAAUCCAACAGAAAAAUGGGGACCGAGACAUUCGAAACCAAGCUCGAACUACUCACGCCAUACUGUAGCCCUCCUAGAUAACGUGCAGAUUUAAGAUAUAAACUGCCCAAGACAGUGAAGUUAAUUGUGGAAGACGUCUCGAAACAAUCUAGAAACACUCGCGUCACAGCGGAAGGCGAUAGCAGCUCCGCACCCGGCAUAACAAACCUUGCACUGUCCAACUCCACGACUGAAGCUCCUCGUAUCCUAAACAACAGCAGGAGUUCGCGGAAUUAGCCGCCUUCGACGAGACUAGAUUAGCUCAUCAGAGGACUUAUCCAGAGGGAGGCGUCAAGAAUGCGACUAGAUCAAUUACACGCCGCAACACGUCCCUCGACCACGGCCCCAAGCCUCCGCCACGAAGGAGAUACGGUCCAGAACCCAAUUCACGACAUAGCUCGAUAAAAUGUGCGAUUGAGAUCAAAUCAAACCUGGUAGGACUAACUUACUCCGAACUGCUCGAAAAUGGCGGCAUUGAAACACCAGUACAGGCAGGAGAGAUGUUAACUGAAAGGACUGAAGGGGCCAGAAAAUACCUUCGGCUCUUUCUCCUGGAUCAGAACGCAUUGAUCUCAACACCACGCCGGAAAACAACUUCUUAGCGUGGGGAGUCUUUUCUGCAGGCAAUCUUGGAUGCAUUCACUUAGCAACUUGUGGGGAAGCAGGUGGG